RNAcentral lists this ribosomal RNA (357 nucleotides) under uncultured bacterium. RNAcentral's name for it is "bacterial SSU rRNA". It matches the Rfam family "Bacterial small subunit ribosomal RNA", at positions 29 to 414 of the family's 1533-position model. The record is from RNAcentral.
AACGAACGCUGGCGGCAUGCCUAACACAUGCAAGUCGAACGAGAUCUUCGGAUCUAGUGGCGCACGGGUGCGUAACGCGUGGGAAUCUGCCCUUUGCUUCGGAAUAACAGUUAGAAAUGACUGCUAAUACCGGAUGAUGUCUUCGGACCAAAGAUUUAUCGGCAAAGGAUGAGCCCGCGUAGGAUUAGGUAGUUGGUGGGUAAAGGCCUACCAAGCCGACGAUCCUUAGCUGGUCUGAGAGGAUGAUCAGCCACACUGGGACUGAGACACGGCCCAGACUCCUACGGGAGGCAGCAGUGGGGAAUAUUGGACAAUGGGCGAAAGCCUGAUCCAGCAAUGCCGCGUGAGUGAUGAAGG